GUGUGUAGUGGGAUGAAAACUGUCCAUGCAUCUUCUAUCAAGAGUGAUAUUGGGUGGGCAUUGCUGAUAUUUUAGGGGGCCUUAUAGUUAGGCAUUUGAGAGAACUUUCCCACCAAUAUCUUGGUCCCCUUUUUCCCCCGUGAGCUAAUGGUUAGGACCAUGUUACUGAAAACUGAGUACCUGGACCUGGUUUCAUGAUAAAGAUUGGUGUUUUAUUUAUUAUAAAAUUUUAAUUAUUGUAGACAUCUUGCCUUCGUACCUGUGAAGCCUAGUUUCUUUCUUUUUAAAGUUACAAGUGUGAUGCAGGCUUGACUAUGUUAAAGAGAGGGGUUACUGAAAGUUCUGGUUAGUUUUUGUCAAAUUGCAUCUCUUUUUAAUGCUUUAGUUGGAACUAGGUUCAAUGUAAGGCUAGGGUCAGAAGAAAGCCGCACAUCUGAUGUCAUCUCUGUUAUUUUGGUAGAUGUGCAAUUUUUAAUUGGUUAUUUGGAUGCAAAUGUUAAGAGAGCAGGGUGAAUGAGAGACUCAAAUGGGCCUUCUGCUAAUUUAUUUCUCAUAACAAUUUGGUGGAGAUUUGACUGCAUAUUUUCUCACUG
Molecule: unclassified non-coding RNA, 593 nt
Filed under: Hevea brasiliensis (rubber tree)
Lineage: Eukaryota; Viridiplantae; Streptophyta; Magnoliopsida; Malpighiales; Euphorbiaceae
Source: RNAcentral